GAUGAACGCUGGCGGCGUGCCUAAUACAUGCAAGUCGAGCGAACGGACGAGAAGCUUGCUUUUCUGAUGUUAGCGGCGGACGGGUGAGUAACACGUGGAUAACCUACCUAUAAGACUGGGAUAACUUCGGGAAACCGGAGCUAAUACCGGAUAAUAUUUUGAACCGCAUGGUUCAAAAGUGAAAGACGGUUUUGCUGUCACUUAUAGAUGGAUCCGCGCUGCAUUAGCUAGUUGGUAAGGUACCGGCUUACCAAGGCAACGAUGCAUAGCCGACCUGAGAGGGUGAUCGGCCACACUGGAACUGAGACACGGUCCAGACUCCUACGGGAGGCAGCAGUAGGGAAUCUUCCGCAAUGGGCGAAAGCCUGACGGAGCAACGCCGCGUGAGUGAUGAAGGUCUUCGGAUCGUAAAACUCUGUUAUUAGGGAAGAACAUAUGUGUAAGUAACUGUGCACAUCUUGACGGUACCUAAUCAGAAAGCCACGGCUAACUACGUG
This 497-nucleotide ribosomal RNA is filed under the name uncultured bacterium. Its description in RNAcentral is "partial 16S ribosomal RNA". It matches the Rfam family "Bacterial small subunit ribosomal RNA", at positions 28 to 507 of the family's 1533-position model. The record is from RNAcentral.